CACAAGCGGUGGAGCAUGUGGUUUAAUUCGAUGCAACGCGAAGAACCUUACCAGGUCUUGACAUCCCGAUGCUAUUUCUAGAGAUAGAAAGUUACUUCGGUACAUCGGUGACAGGUGGUGCAUGGUUGUCGUCAGCUCGUGUCGUGAGAUGUUGGGUUAAGUCCCGCAACGAGCGCAACCCCUAUUGUUAGUUGCCAUCAUUCAGUUGGGCACUCUAGCGAGACUGCCGGUAAUAAACCGGAGGAAGGUGGGGAUGACGUCAAAUCAUCAUGCCCCUUAUGACCUGGGCUACACACGUGCUACAAUGGUUGGUACAACGAGUUGCGAGUCGGUGACGGCGAGCUAAUCUCUUAAAGCCAAUCUCAGUUCGGAUUGUAGGCUGCAACUCGCCUACAUGAAGUCGGAAUCGCUAGUAAUCGCGGAUCAGCACGCCGCGGUGAAUACGUUCCCGGGCCUU
RNAcentral lists this ribosomal RNA (457 nucleotides) under uncultured Streptococcus sp. Its description in RNAcentral is "bacterial SSU rRNA". It matches the Rfam family "Bacterial small subunit ribosomal RNA", at positions 924 to 1382 of the family's 1533-position model. The record is from RNAcentral. Lineage: Bacteria; Bacillati; Bacillota; Bacilli; Lactobacillales; Streptococcaceae.